Molecule: ribosomal RNA, 497 nt
Filed under: uncultured bacterium
Lineage: Bacteria
Description: partial 16S ribosomal RNA
Rfam family: Bacterial small subunit ribosomal RNA
Source: RNAcentral
GAUGAACGCUGGCGGCGUGCCUAAUACAUGCAGGUCGAGCGAACGGACGAGAAGCUUGCUUCUCUGAUGUUAGCGGCGGACGGGUGAGUAACACGUGGAUAACCUACCUAUAAGACUGGGAUAACUUCGGGAAACCGUAGCUAAUACCGGAUAAUAUUUUGAACCGCAUGGUUCAAAAGUGAAAGACGGUCUUGCUGUCACUUAUAGAUGGAUCCGCGCUGCAUUAGCUAGUUGGUAAGGUAACGGCUUACCAAGGCAACGAUGCAUAGCCGACCUGAGAGGGUGAUCGGCCACACUGGAACUGAGACACGGUCCAGACUCCUACGGGAGGCACCAGUAGGGAAUCUUCCGCAAUGGGCGAAAGCCUGACGGAGCAACGCCGCGUGAGUGAUGAAGGUCUUCGGAUCGUAAAACUCUGUUAUUAGGGAAGAACAUAUGUGUAAGUAACUGUGCACAUCUUGACGGUACCUAAUCAGAAAGCCACGGCUAACUACGUG